RNAcentral lists this ribosomal RNA (772 nucleotides) under Pseudomonas taiwanensis. Its description in RNAcentral is "bacterial SSU rRNA". It matches the Rfam family "Bacterial small subunit ribosomal RNA", at positions 56 to 824 of the family's 1533-position model. The record is from RNAcentral. Lineage: Bacteria; Pseudomonadati; Pseudomonadota; Gammaproteobacteria; Pseudomonadales; Pseudomonadaceae.
UGCAGUCGAGCGGAUGACGGGAGCUUGCUCCUUGAUUCAGCGGCGGACGGGUGAGUAAUGCCUAGGAAUCUGCCUGGUAGUGGGGGACAACGUUUCGAAAGGAACGCUAAUACCGCAUACGUCCUACGGGAGAAAGCAGGGGACCUUCGGGCCUUGCGCUAUCAGAUGAGCCUAGGUCGGAUUAGCUAGUUGGUGAGGUAAUGGCUCACCAAGGCGACGAUCCGUAACUGGUCUGAGAGGAUGAUCAGUCACACUGGAACUGAGACACGGUCCAGACUCCUACGGGAGGCAGCAGUGGGGAAUAUUGGACAAUGGGCGAAAGCCUGAUCCAGCCAUGCCGCGUGUGUGAAGAAGGUCUUCGGAUUGUAAAGCACUUUAAGUUGGGAGGAAGGGCAGUAAGUUAAUACCUUGCUGUUUUGACGUUACCGACAGAAUAAGCACCGGCUAACUCUGUGCCAGCAGCCGCGGUAAUACAGAGGGUGCAAGCGUUAAUCGGAAUUACUGGGCGUAAAGCGCGCGUAGGUGGUUCGUUAAGUUGGAUGUGAAAGCCCCGGGCUCAACCUGGGAACUGCAUCCAAAACUGGCGAGCUAGAGUACGGUAGAGGGUGGUGGAAUUUCCUGUGUAGCGGUGAAAUGCGUAGAUAUACGAAGGAACACCAGUGGCGAAGGCGACCACCUGGACUGAUACUCACACUGAGGUGCGAAAGCGUGUGGAGCAAACAGGAUUAGAUACCCUGGUACUCCACGCGUUAAACGAUGUCAACUAACCCUU